ACGUAGCAGAUUUUUUGAUAGUCGUAAUUAAAUAUUUUGGAUAGAUUUAAUUUUUGAAUGAAACACUUCCUUCUCGUUCAUUGCAUUAUCUGUUGCACUUCAAAUGCACAUAUUUAUGUUUAUCUGUUGUAGGGUUGCCAUACAACAAGUAUUAUUCGAAAUUGUAGGUAUUUUGGCUGUCAUUCCAGGAAAACUUUGUAUAGUUUUGAUAUACUUUAAGUAUUGAUUUUUGGAAAAUAUAAUAUUUUAGAGACAUGAUAACAAAUGUUAUCAUAGGUUUUUUAAGGCUGUUCUGGAAUGAUAUUUGUUAGGUUUUGUUUACUUCAAGGUCUGAUACAGAAACUGGAGUAAUUUUCAUUUAAUGAAUUAGAGUAUUUUAUUGUUUAUUCGUUUGCCACCCGGCUUUUGUUUUGGGUCCUUUAAAUUCGAGAUCAUUCAGUGCGCCGUUCUUUCUGUGACGAGAUCCUCUUGUAUAGUGAUCGGACGGCCGUAUAAGGGCCUGGAGCCCGGCAUGCCACGUGCUGCCGUGGCGUUCCAUAUUUUGUGUGGUGCGUUCUGUCAGUCUGACUGGCAGAAACAUGCUAAGGGUGGGAGUGCUCCUUGGAGAUCCUCGGUCUGCAGUCUGCAGGUCUCCGGAGUCGGGAAGAAGUAAAGAAUUAGAGAAUUGCAGAAGUAGAUAAUUAAACAAGAACCUUUACAAUUUCGAUGUGCAAGGAAACUUCUUUGGCUUACUGGCGCAAGGUGUCUUUGGACCUUGUUUUCGUAUGGAAGGGUCAGCCCUGUCCACGUGGCGAGGGGGCGUCAGCACCGGAGUCCGGGGAGCUGCCGGCUCAUCCCUGACAAGGUGUGUCUCCUGCCCGUUUCCUGCCGGUAGUGCUGUGUAAUUCAGGUUUUUAAUUUCUGUGUAAAGUAAUUUCUGAUUUCAUUUAUUUUGAGAAUUCUGGUGCAUAACUUUAGGUAAAUUCCGAUUUAGUUUUGUAGAAUAAAUGAUUGUAAGAAACCUUUUCCUGGACCCUCUUAAAGCGGCCCAGCUUUACCACUGAGCGUAGUUCAUAUUUUUAUAUGGUGUCUAAUUUAGUAUUUUGGGAAACAUUAAAUGAAACCUUUCUGUAAGGCAAGAUUUAGUUAUAAUAAAUAUAUAAAAUGUUA
RNAcentral lists this long non-coding RNA (1149 nucleotides) under Leguminivora glycinivorella. RNAcentral describes it as "uncharacterized LOC125228156, transcript variant X2". The record is from RNAcentral. Lineage: Eukaryota; Metazoa; Arthropoda; Insecta; Lepidoptera; Tortricidae.